Molecule: ribosomal RNA, 668 nt
Filed under: Malus domestica (apple)
Lineage: Eukaryota; Viridiplantae; Streptophyta; Magnoliopsida; Rosales; Rosaceae
Description: rRNA MD11G0133400
Rfam family: Eukaryotic large subunit ribosomal RNA
Source: RNAcentral
ACCAAAGAGUUAGAUAUGUGUGCAAUUUAAUGGGUGAUAAACCCAUAAGGCGCAAGCAAGCUGAUUGGCGGGAUUCCCUUGAAGGUUGCACCGCCGACCAACCUUGAUUUUCUAAGAAGGCUCCAAGUGUGAGCAUGUUUGUCGGGACCUGAAGGGUGGUGAACUAUGCCUGAGCACGACAAAGCUAGAGGAAACUUUGGUAGAGGCCCGCAGUGAUACUGACGUACAAAUCGUUCGUCUAACUUGGGUAUAGGGGUGAAAAAGUAAUUGAACCGUCUAGCAGCUGGUUCCCUUCGAAGUUUCCCUCAGGAUGGCUGGAGCUCAUGAACAAGCUUUAUUAGGUAAAGCCAAUGAUUAGAGUCAAAUGGGGUGACACACCCUUAACCAAUUCUCAAACUUUAAACAGGUAGGAAGGUGCGACUGCUUCGUUGAGUCGUGCCACGGAAUCUAGAGCUCCAAGUGGGCCAUUUUGGUAAGCAGAACUGCGAAGGAAAGGCAAGGAAGUUAGUAACCUAGGAGUAGUUCAGGUUCGAGAAUUUGGGUAUUUUUCUUAAUCCAACUCUACUCCAUCGACUGAGACUGAUACCAGACUUCAUUGCGUAGAGAUGGAGCUGGUGCGCCAAAGGGAAUUCGUGCGCAUUUACUUAACUGUCAUAGCCAAGUCCUUG